CUGCACUGUCUAGUGCCAGGUCUGCCAUCUCCGUGGCUCUCCUGUCUCAUUCCAGUGCCAGAUAAACCUCCGCCACAGGCAGAAGGGCUGGCCACAACACUGGUCCCUCCCUUUCGAUGGCAGAGAACAAUA
This is a small nucleolar RNA of Hucho hucho (huchen), 132 nucleotides long. The record is from Ensembl. NCBI's taxonomy places the organism in Eukaryota, Metazoa, Chordata, Actinopteri, Salmoniformes, Salmonidae.